Molecule: ribosomal RNA, 917 nt
Filed under: human gut metagenome
Description: bacterial SSU rRNA
Rfam family: Bacterial small subunit ribosomal RNA
Source: RNAcentral
UGGUCAAUGGCCGAGAGGCUGAACCAGCCAAGUCGCGUGAGGGAUGAAGGUUCUAUGGAUCGUAAACCUCUUUUAUAAGGGAAUAAAGUGCGGGACGUGUCCCGUUUUGUAUGUACCUUAUGAAUAAGGAUCGGCUAACUCCGUGCCAGCAGCCGCGGUAAUACGGAGGAUCCGAGCGUUAUCCGGAUUUAUUGGGUUUAAAGGGUGCGUAGGCGGCCUUUUAAGUCAGCGGUGAAAGUCUGUGGCUCAACCAUAGAAUUGCCGUUGAAACUGGGGGGCUUGAGUAUGUUUGAGGCAGGCGGAAUGCGUGGUGUAGCGGUGAAAUGCAUAGAUAUCACGCAGAACCCCGAUUGCGAAGGCAGCCUGCCAAGCCAUUACUGACGCUGAUGCACGAAAGCGUGGGGAUCAAACAGGAUUAGAUACCCUGGUAGUCCACGCAGUAAACGAUGAUCACUAGCUGUUUGCGAUACACUGUAAGCGGCACAGCGAAAGCGUUAAGUGAUCCACCUGGGGAGUACGCCGGCAACGGUGAAACUCAAAGGAAUUGACGGGGGCCCGCACAAGCGGAGGAACAUGUGGUUUAAUUCGAUGAUACGCGAGGAACCUUACCCGGGUUUGAACGCAUUCGGACCGAGGUGGAAACACCUUUUCUAGCAAUAGCCGUUUGCGAGGUGCUGCAUGGUUGUCGUCAGCUCGUGCCGUGAGGUGUCGGCUUAAGUGCCAUAACGAGCGCAACCCUUGCCACUAGUUACUAACAGGUAAAGCUGAGGACUCUGGUGGGACUGCCAGCGUAAGCUGCGAGGAAGGCGGGGAUGACGUCAAAUCAGCACGGCCCUUACAUCCGGGGCGACACACGUGUUACAAUGGCGUGGACAAAGGGAAGCCACCUGGCGACAGGGAGCGAAUCCCCAAACCAC